AUACGGAAGGUCCGGGCGUUAUCCGGAUUUAUUGGGUUUAAAGGGAGCGCAGGCGGAGAUGCAAGCGUGACGUCAAAUUUCGGGGCUCAACCCCGUCUCGCGUCGCGAACUGCGUCCCUUGGUUGCGGGAAGGGGAGGCGGAACUCGUGGUGUAGCGGUGAAAUGCAUAGAUAUCACGAAGAACUCCGAUCGCGAAGGCAGCCUUCCGGCCCGUCAACGACGCUCAUGCUCGAAGGUGCGGGUAUCAAACAGGAUUAGAUACCCUGGUAGUCCGCACAGUAAACGAUGGACACCCGCGGUUUGGCCUGUAUGGCUGAGCCGCCAAGCGAAAGCGUUAAGCGUCCCACCUGGGGAGUACGCCGGCAACGGUGAAACUCAAAGGAAUUGACGGGG
RNAcentral lists this ribosomal RNA (393 nucleotides) under uncultured bacterium. Its description in RNAcentral is "partial 16S ribosomal RNA". It matches the Rfam family "Bacterial small subunit ribosomal RNA", at positions 523 to 918 of the family's 1533-position model. The record is from RNAcentral.